GCUGUAUUAAUUGCUAGGGGAGGCUAGGGAUAACAAGCCAGUAAUUAGUAUUAGGCUCUUUUCGCCGAGGGAUCAGGUUAAGGGUAGGCUAAGAAAGUUGCAUGACAAUUAAUUAAUCAAGCUAAUAAUUCAAGAGGAGUAGAUAAGAGAGAGCAGAUAAGGAUGAAAUUGUAAACCCCCAACAACUCCAUUCAUCCAUUGUUUUCUUCUUGUCAUUUGAAUCAAUCUCUUUUACAUGUUCAUAUUUUAUUCUCGUAAUCAAUUUAUUAAUUUUUAUUUUCAAGUCUUAUUAUUUUAAUUCAC
RNAcentral lists this long non-coding RNA (303 nucleotides) under Vigna radiata. Its description in RNAcentral is "long non-coding RNA (VRAD_LNC013182)". Lineage: Eukaryota; Viridiplantae; Streptophyta; Magnoliopsida; Fabales; Fabaceae. The record is from RNAcentral.